UGGCCACACUUGCACACUAUAGAAAACUGCACCGGCUGGGACCUCAGGAGUGUGCACAAGCUGGCACUUUUUCCUAUAGUGUGCAUGUACGGCCACCACUGAAGGAUUACAGGGUGUCCACUUUCUGAAAAUAGGGUCAUCUGUGGGG
This is a long non-coding RNA of Bufo bufo (common toad), 148 nucleotides long. RefSeq lists it as uncharacterized. The transcript is spliced from 3 exons. NCBI's taxonomy places the organism in Eukaryota, Metazoa, Chordata, Amphibia, Anura, Bufonidae. The record is from RefSeq and is a predicted model, not a curated record.